UCCCUGGUGAUUCAGAUGGUAAAGAAUCUGCUUGCAAUGCAGGAGACCCAGGUUCAAUCCCUGGGUCAGGGAA
Molecule: non-coding RNA, 73 nt
Organism: Ovis aries (sheep)
Lineage: Eukaryota; Metazoa; Chordata; Mammalia; Artiodactyla; Bovidae
Source: Rfam